UACGUAGGGGGCAAGCGUUGUCCGGAAUCAUUGGGCGUAAAGAGCGCGUAGGCGGUCCGGUAAGUCCGCUCUGAAAGUCCGGGGCUCAACCCCGGGAGGCGGGCGGAUACUGUCGGGCUAGAGUCCGGAAGAGGCGAGCGGAAUUCCUGGUGUAGCGGUGAAAUGCGCAGAUAUCAGGAGGAACACCAAUGGCGGAGGCAGCUCGCUGGGACGGUACUGACGCUGAGGCGCGAAAGCGUGGGGAGCAAACAGG
This 253-nucleotide ribosomal RNA is filed under the name uncultured bacterium. RNAcentral describes it as "partial 16S ribosomal RNA". It matches the Rfam family "Bacterial small subunit ribosomal RNA", at positions 524 to 776 of the family's 1533-position model. The record is from RNAcentral.